AUUGAACGCUGGCGGCAGGCCUAACACAUGCAAGUCGAGCGAGAGGCGGACGGGUGAGUAAUGUAUGGGGACUGCCUGAUAGAGGGGGAUAACGACUGGAAACGGUGGCUAAUACCGCAUACGAUCGGAUAACCCAUAUGGGAUUAGCUAGUAGGUGGGGUAAAGGCUCACAUAGGCGACGAUCCUUAGCUGGUCUGAGAGGAUGAUCAGCCACACUGGGACUGAGACACGGCCCAGACUCCUACGGAGGCAGCAGUGGGGAAUAUUGGACAAUGGGCGAAAGCCUGACGCAGCCAUGCCGCGUGAAUGAAGAAGGCCUUAGGGUUGUAAAGUACUGUCGGCUGAGAGGCGUUACCCACAGAAAAAGCACCGGCUAACUACGUGCCAGCAGCCGCGGUAAUAC
Molecule: ribosomal RNA, 403 nt
Filed under: uncultured bacterium
Lineage: Bacteria
Description: partial 16S ribosomal RNA
Rfam family: Bacterial small subunit ribosomal RNA
Source: RNAcentral